GGGUUGUGAGGUUAAGCGACUAAGCGUACACGGUGGAUGCCCUGGCAGUCAGAGGCGAUGAAGGGCGUGCUAAUCUGCGAUAAGCGCCGGUAAGGUGAUAUGAACCGUUAUAACCGGCGAUACCCGAAUGGGGAAACCCAGUGUGACUCGUCACACUAUCAUUAACUGAAUCCAUAGGUUAAUGAGGCGAACCGGGGGAACUGAAACAUCUAAGUACCCCGAGGAAAAGAAAUCAACCGAGAUUCCCCCAGUAGCGGCGAGCGAACGGGGAGGAGCCCAGAGCCUGAAUCAGCAUGUGUGUUAGUGGAAGCGUCUGGAAAGGCGCGCGAUACAGGGUGACAGCCCCGUACACAAAAGCGCAUGUGCUGUGAGCUCGAUGAGUAGGGCGGGACACGUGGUAUCCUGUCUGAAUAUGGGGGGACCAUCCUCCAAGGCUAAAUACUCCUGACUGACCGAUAGUGAACCAGUACCGUGAGGGAAAGGCGAAAAGAACCCCGGCGAGGGGAGUGAAAAAGAACCUGAAACCGUGUACGUACAAGCAGUGGGAGCCCCACCACCAAAGCAUUUGCUGUACCGCGUUGACGGAGCGAAGCGACGUCAA
This 601-nucleotide ribosomal RNA is filed under the name Salmonella enterica subsp. enterica serovar Enteritidis. RNAcentral describes it as "partial 23S ribosomal RNA". It matches the Rfam family "Bacterial large subunit ribosomal RNA", at positions 1 to 587 of the family's 2925-position model. Lineage: Bacteria; Pseudomonadati; Pseudomonadota; Gammaproteobacteria; Enterobacterales; Enterobacteriaceae. The record is from RNAcentral.